AUGGGCCUCUUCAGUAGCAGCAAUGGCAAGGGCAAGGGCAAGGGCACCCCCGGCACCUCGUCCUCCCGUGCUCCCCCUCCCCCUCCAUCACCGGCGCGUUUCCCCCCUGAACGCUGGCGCCUGCACAUCCCGGGGCACCAAGUGCGGUGGCAUUGGGAGUACAAGCAGCCCCUCCCCUACCCCGACGUCACAUUGCCGCACCAUUGGCAUUUGGAUCCCCAACGGAUCCCGGUGCCGGCGGUUCCGCAGACCCAGUGGACGCACGACGACGAGGUGAGCCGGCGCCGCGCGCAGCUCACGCCGGAGCAGCGUCGGUUGCCCGAGUACACCGCCGACUCUCCCAACUGGAAGGCUUGGUUCGCCCUCGAACACGAGGAGCAACGAGGCUCGGGUCUCGACGCCAUCCCUCCGCCGUUCCCACCGCCGCCCCCACAGGUAGAGCCGGAGGACAUGGAGGCGGAGGCGGAGUACCAAGCCGCCCUCGAGGAGGCCCUGUAG
This 498-nucleotide ribosomal RNA is filed under the name Triticum aestivum (bread wheat). RNAcentral describes it as "partial small subunit ribosomal RNA". The record is from RNAcentral. Lineage: Eukaryota; Viridiplantae; Streptophyta; Magnoliopsida; Poales; Poaceae.